UACGUAGGGUGCGAGCGUUAAUCGGAAUUACUGGGCGUAAAGCGUGCGUAGGUGGUUCGUUGUGUCUGUGGUGAAAGCCCCGGGCUUAACCUGGGAAUGGCCAUGGAAACUGGCGAGCUGGAGUGUGGCAGAGGAGGGUGGAAUUCCGCGUGUAGCAGUGAAAUGCGUAGAUAUGCGGAGGAACACCGAUGGCGAAGGCAGCCUCCUGGGAUAACACUGACGCUCAUGCACGAAAGCGUGGGGAGCAAACAGG
This 253-nucleotide ribosomal RNA is filed under the name uncultured bacterium. RNAcentral's name for it is "partial 16S ribosomal RNA". It matches the Rfam family "Bacterial small subunit ribosomal RNA", at positions 524 to 776 of the family's 1533-position model. The record is from RNAcentral.